Non-coding RNA from Pelobates cultripes (western spadefoot toad), 239 nucleotides. Lineage: Eukaryota; Metazoa; Chordata; Amphibia; Anura; Pelobatidae. The record is from the annotation of a GenBank genome assembly.
CAGGCAGCUGUGCUUGUCUGUGAUAACCACGUGCCGAUCGCACGUCCCCGUGACGGCGACAUCGCAUUCGGAUGUCUACCCUAUCAACUUUCAAUGCUAUUUUCCAAACCUACCAUGGUGACAACGGGUAAUGGGGAAUCAGGAUUCGAUUCCAGAGAGGAAGUCUGAGAAAUGGCUACAACAUGCAAGGAAGGAAGCAGGCGCGCAAAUUACCCACUCCCGAUGCGGGGAGGUAGUGA